CAAUGCAUAUUCUACCUGUUUGUUGCUUUUGCUCUCUCUGUUAUUAUUUCAGUUAAUUUGUGUCUCGUCUCUGCAUUUAGCUCCGCCACUUUGGUCAUUCCGACGCAUACAACUAUUUAAUCCAACGUGCUGUAAAAUACAUUGAAUGUACUGUAAGAGCUAUAGUUUAUAGGGAAGGUAUUAAGCAAUUAAUUGUGGCAUUUUUAUUUUUUUGCUGAUCAUAUUGAUCACACAAGACUAAAUAUAUGGCAUAACUGAUCUCAUAUUCUUUCCCUUGAGUACUUAAUGCAUUAAAUGCAAUUAAACGAAUUGAUGUAGACCAGGGGUGCCUAAUCCUGUUCCUGGAGAUCUUCCAUCCUGUAGGUUUUCAUUUAAACCCUAAUUUGGUAAACCUGAUUCUACUAAUUAUCAGCUCAAUGAGAUCUCUAGCUGUUGAAUGAGAUGUGCUUUGUUUGAAUUGGAGUGAAAUCCUACAGGAUGGUAGAUCUCCAGGAACAGGAUUGGGCACCCCUGAUGUAGACCAAAUGCAUUAAUGUGUUAAAGGUACUAUGCAUUGUAGAAAAGGUCAUUGAAAAUGGGUGAUUUAAACAUCAUGUAUCAUGGCAAACAUGGCUUUCAAAACUUUUCCCAGGAUGCACUGAUGCACAGCGAGUACACGCACUGUCUUUCCCAGGAUGCACAGCGAGUACACGCACUGUCUUUCCCAGGACGCACAGCGGGUACACGCACUGUCUUUCCCAAGAUGCACUGUGAGUGUACUUGCAGUUAUUCCCA
Anguilla rostrata (American eel) is the source of this 774-nucleotide long non-coding RNA. RefSeq lists it as uncharacterized. Lineage: Eukaryota; Metazoa; Chordata; Actinopteri; Anguilliformes; Anguillidae. The transcript has 3 exons. The record is from RefSeq and is a predicted model, not a curated record.